Bombus impatiens (common eastern bumble bee) is the source of this 951-nucleotide long non-coding RNA. RefSeq lists it as uncharacterized. The record is from RefSeq and is a predicted model, not a curated record. The transcript is spliced from 3 exons. Lineage: Eukaryota; Metazoa; Arthropoda; Insecta; Hymenoptera; Apidae.
UUGUUGUUCAUCUAUUAUUACCUUACGAAAUGAAAGAAACUUUUCGGAUAACCUAACAAGUAUAUGGCGAUAGCCUUAAGAUUGCUGCAUAGUAGAGUUUCGUUUGUUUGAACUUUAUUAACUUGAAGGAAGAUACUAGGAAAGAUGAUCAUCAUUCAUACACUGAACUAUAUACAGACGCAAGAGGAGUCGAGAAAGUGUUAAUGUAUUCAGCAAAACUUGAAACUUUCAACUCCUUAGUACCUUGAAACUUAUUUGGAAACCUUGAAAGCGACGUUUCAUUAAAACUGGUCAUUGAAACUCGAAAGUAAUUAUCAGUGUCUGCCGAGAAUCUGGUAGCUUCAAGGACGUUGAACGCAAGCACACAGUUAACCAUGGGAAACAGGUAUCGUCUCACUUGGUAUUAUUAUACCUCGAGAACGAAAGGGGCGAAGGUUUCCUCGCACAUAUAUGCGCACGCUAUCCCUUUCAUCCAUUUUGCUGCAAGAUCAAGGUCUUUUUCCAUCUGAAAUUACCGAUAAUUUGGAGGUUAGGUUGCAUUAUUAAGCAAUUACCAACGAUGAAAUAGCGAAUAUCGAGCCGCUGUUGACAAAGCCACGGCAAAUCGGUUGUUCGUACAUGCUUGGGAUAACGAGCUCAUUAACCAAAGAUCACCCUCCUCCAUCGAGAGCAGAUCACCUGUCAGUAUGGCGUCGAUAACCGUCUGCACCUGCGAGGGCUUGAUUGUAGCUAAUGUAGAGGCACUCUUUCGCCUCGAUUAAUGACGCACAGGAAAAUGACUUCCUCCACGAUACCGCGAAACCGAUUCAGCUACCACGUCGAUUAACCAUCGUGAAAUAUUGUAAUUUCUUUGUCACCGUGUAAACAGGUGGAAAGGAAUCGUUGAGUAUCUUAAAAUUUACAUACUAAAUAUUCUGUUCUUGAAUUUUUCUAUUAUAAUCUUUUGUUUUC